UGAGGAAUAUUGGUCAAUGGACGAGAGUCUGAACCAGCCAAAUCGCGUGAAGGAAGACUGCCCUACGGGUUGUAAACUUCUUUUGUACAGGAAUAAAAGACAUUACGUGUAAUGUAUUGCAUGUACUGUACGAAUAAGCAUCGGCUAACUCCGUGCCAGCAGCCGCGGUAAUACGGAGGAUGCGAGCGUUAUCCGGAUUUAUUGGGUUUAAAGGGUGCGCAGGCGGGAUUUUAAGUCAGAGGUGAAAUCUUACAGCUUAACUGUGAAACUGCCUUUGAUACUGCGAGCCUAGAAUAUGGAAGAGAGCGAGGGAAUAGCUGGUGUAGCAGUGAAAUGCGUAGAUAUCAGAUAGAACACCAAUGGCGAAGGCAGUCACUUUGUCCAUUACUGACGCUAAAGCACGAAAGCG
Molecule: ribosomal RNA, 409 nt
Filed under: uncultured bacterium
Lineage: Bacteria
Description: bacterial SSU rRNA
Rfam family: Bacterial small subunit ribosomal RNA
Source: RNAcentral